RNAcentral lists this ribosomal RNA (515 nucleotides) under uncultured bacterium. Its description in RNAcentral is "partial 16S ribosomal RNA". It matches the Rfam family "Bacterial small subunit ribosomal RNA", at positions 28 to 523 of the family's 1533-position model. The record is from RNAcentral.
GAUGAACGCUGGCGGCGUGCCUAAUACAUGCAAGUCGAGCGAAUGGAUUAAGAGCUUGCUCUUAUGAAGUUAGCGGCGGACGGGUGAGUAACACGUGGGUAACCUGCCCAUAAGACUGGGAUAACUCCGGGAAACCGGGGCUAAUACCGGAUAACAUUUUGAACCGCAUGGUUCGAAAUUGAAAGGCGGCCCCGGCUGUCACUUAUGGAUGGACCUGCGUCGAAUUAGCUAGUUGGUGCGGUAACGGCUCACCAAGGCAACGAUGCGUAGCCGACCUGAGAGGGUGAUCGGCCACACUGGGACUGAGACACGGCCCAGACUCCUACGGGGGGCAGCAGUAGGGAAUCUUCCGCAAUGGACGAAAGUCUGACGGAGCAACGCCGCGUGAGUGAUGAAGGCUUUCGGGUCGUAAAACUCUGUUGUUAGGGAAGAACAAGUGCUAGUUGAAUAAGCUGGCACCUUGACGGUACCUAACCAGAAAGCCACGGCUAACUACGUGCCAGCAGCCGCGGUAA